This is a long non-coding RNA of Rosa chinensis, 545 nucleotides long. RefSeq lists it as uncharacterized. Lineage: Eukaryota; Viridiplantae; Streptophyta; Magnoliopsida; Rosales; Rosaceae. The transcript is spliced from 2 exons. The record is from RefSeq and is a predicted model, not a curated record.
UCUAGAGAUCCCUGCACUUUAUUUUGAGGCCAUCAACUAAAUGCUAGAUUUGUGCAUAAGCUAUGGCUUGAGAAAGUUUGUCUUAGGUCUGAAUGUUAUUGUUUUGUGAAGAAGGAAAAGCAGCAAGAUGCUGAAUGAAGCUGACUCCCAAAGUCUGACCUAGUUUUUGGAGAAUUUCUUCAACAUAUUUCCUUGAUCCACAUUCUUCAAUUAUGACAGUGAGGACAGGGAAGGAAGACAUUAGAACCGUAACCAAGGAUGCCCGCUCUGUGGUAGUGAUCCAAAGCUCGAAACGCAACACAAAUGAGUUGGAGUGGGAUCUUAGAGCGAGAGAAGCAAGUACUAUGGAUUACCUCCUUUCAGCAUAUGAGUUCCAAGUUUGAUUCAUGGGUCUAGGUAGCAGCUAGGGAUAGCUAGGAAUGCUUUUGAUUCUUGUGUAGGUAGCAGCUAGGAAUACUUUCUUGUUUGGUAAAUUAUUUAGUAACUUGAAUGUUUGAAAAAUGCUACUUGAAUGAUAUGGAUUAGACUGUGGUUUUAUUUGGUAA